RNAcentral lists this long non-coding RNA (388 nucleotides) under Rattus norvegicus (Norway rat). Its description in RNAcentral is "long non-coding RNA NONRATT001672". The record is from RNAcentral. Lineage: Eukaryota; Metazoa; Chordata; Mammalia; Rodentia; Muridae.
GCAGAAUUCACCAUAAUCAAGAAACCUUUUCCGGGUGGGGGAACCUCAGAAAUUACUCAGCUCCACAUCAGUUAGCAGCUGACCAUUCUCGUGACCAAGAAUCUGUGGCGGAUCCUCCCGUCUCAAGUGAUAUGUUGAUGCCAACUUCCCUGUUGGGUCUGGAUGCUGGACUCACCCAUGAAGAAGUUGGAGCUAUUACAACUUACACACUGAGAACUGACUUAAUCACGUGUGCCAGCGCUUCCUCAUAGAAGCCUGUCUUUUUCUAAAUGCAGUGUUGAAUCAAGGAUGGUGCUGUCUCUAAAAUCAAAGAAGUUGGAGAACCAUCUCACACAAACUGAGAUUAAAGGAUCAUCCUUUUUCCCCCCAAAGUUUCUUAGUUUCCAAA